UCAGCAUUUACAGGGUUAAGGUUACAGC
This 28-nucleotide non-coding RNA is filed under the name Mus musculus (house mouse). The record is from RNAcentral. Lineage: Eukaryota; Metazoa; Chordata; Mammalia; Rodentia; Muridae.